RNAcentral lists this RNase P RNA (399 nucleotides) under Streptosporangiales bacterium. RNAcentral describes it as "RNase P RNA component class A". It matches the Rfam family "Bacterial RNase P class A". Rfam says of the family: Ribonuclease P (RNase P) is a ubiquitous endoribonuclease, found in archaea, bacteria and eukarya as well as chloroplasts and mitochondria. Lineage: Bacteria; Bacillati; Actinomycetota; Actinomycetes; Streptosporangiales. The record is from RNAcentral.
CGAGUCGGCCGGGCGGCCGCGUCGGGCCCGGUGUCUCCUCGGAGCACGGGCUCGCCGAGGAAAGUCCGGACUCCACAGGGCAGGGUGGUGGGUAACGCCCACCCGGGGUGACCCGCGGGAAAGUGCAACAGAAAGCAGACCGCCUCCGCCUUGGCGGAGGUAAGGGUGAAACGGUGGUGUAAGAGACCACCAGCGUCCGGGGUGACUCGGGCGGCUGGGUAAACCCCACCCGGAGCAAGGCCAAGAAGGGGGCUUCGGCCCCCGCGCAGGCGUUCGAGGGCUGCCCGCCCGAGCCUGCGGGUAGGCCGCUGGAGGUCGCCGGCGACGGCGGCCCGAGAUGGAUGGUCGCCACGCCUCGCGAGGGGCGUACAGAAUCCGGCUUAUCGGCCGACUCGUCCG